CCUACGGGGGGCAACAGUGGGGAAUAUUGGACAAUGGGGGCAACCCUGAUCCAGCCAUGCCGCGUGUGUGAAGAAGGCCCUCGGGUUGUAAAGCACUUUCAGUGAGGAAGAACGCCUGGUGGUUAAUACCCAUCAGGAAAGACAUCACUCACAGAAGAAGCACCGGCUAACUCCGUGCAGCAGCCGCGGUAAUACGGAGGGUGCGAGCGUUAAUCGGAAUUACUGGGCGUAAAGCGCGCGUAGGUGGCUUGAUAAGCCGGUUGUGAAAGCCCCGGGCUCAACCUGGGAACGGCAUCCGGAACUGUCAAGCUAGAGUGCAGGAGAGGAAGGUAGAAUUCCCGGUGUAGCGGUGAAAUGCGUAGAGAUCGGGAGGAAUACCAGUGGCGAAGGCGGCCUUCUGGACUGACACUGACACUGAGGUGCGAAAGCGUGGGUAGCAAACAGGAUUAGAUACCCUGGUAGUC
This 464-nucleotide ribosomal RNA is filed under the name Vreelandella stevensii. RNAcentral describes it as "partial 16S ribosomal RNA". It matches the Rfam family "Bacterial small subunit ribosomal RNA", at positions 338 to 795 of the family's 1533-position model. Lineage: Bacteria; Pseudomonadati; Pseudomonadota; Gammaproteobacteria; Oceanospirillales; Halomonadaceae. The record is from RNAcentral.